This 746-nucleotide long non-coding RNA is filed under the name Bemisia tabaci. RNAcentral's name for it is "lncRNA ENSSSA2NGG005697". The record is from RNAcentral. Lineage: Eukaryota; Metazoa; Arthropoda; Insecta; Hemiptera; Aleyrodidae.
CGACGAAUAUAUAAAAAAAUGUAAAUAUUAUACAUUUAUCAAUUUGAUAGAUUGUACCUCUAAGCCUAAUGCCAUUAUGUUUUAGAUCUGUUGUGCGUGCGACGGUCUCUUACUACCCCAAUGCUGUUGUUGAUGUCAGUCACUUGCAAGAUCGUUUUGCAGUUAAUAAAACGGCUGUUGUGGUUAAUCAAACUGUGCAAGAAUAUAGAGCGGAAAAUCAGCUUCUUUUCUGGUUACUCAUUCUGCUGGCAUUAUUGAUCUUACUGGCACUACUCUCGUUUCUUCUCUGUGGACUUUGUCCUUGCUGUCCACUCUACGCAUUUUUCACCAGACAGAGGAAAGUACAGUCGGCAGACUCUGUAGAAAAAAGAAGAUUCUUCCAAGAAUCCAAAGGAAUUCAAGGUAAAACAUAUCGUCACCUUCCGGUCAAAGUAUCACAAGCGCCAUGCGAUGUUUAAAAAUUUCCGCCGCCAUUUAUUUGUUUACAGAGAAAAUGUUGGUGAAUCUGUUUGAAAAUUUCACUGAAUUUCAUCGGCAGUACAAAGAAAAUUCAGUGAAAUUUUCGGACAGCUUCGUUGAACAAUUUUUCUGUAAAAAAAUAAAAUGGCGGCGGAGAUUUUGAAACGUCGCAUGGCGCUUGUGAUACUUUGACCGGAAGGUGACGAUAUUUCAUACACCAAUCACAACUAUUUUCUUAUCUAGCUCAAAAUUAAGGGGCAAAGCCCAAGGGCAAGCAAAUGUGAAGA